AGUUGGAUAGCUGCAGUGUUGGUGGCUAUUACUCCUACUGAGUCAUUUAUAAGAGCUGCUAACUGAUGCAAAUGCAGAAUGGAAUGCAUGUUAGUAUUGACUGGAAGCUACUCAUUCAUUAACUUUAAUGUAUAUUGUUUUGGCAUCAAAAUUCUUAUUAAAGAAGGCAGCAGACCUGUCCUGGGGUAGUUAUGAACACAAUACUGGCAUCUUCUUCAACUACUUCCUCUACAUCUUCCCUUUCUUUCUCAUGUGGAAUUAC
This is a long non-coding RNA of Telopea speciosissima, 262 nucleotides long. RefSeq lists it as uncharacterized. The record is from RefSeq and is a predicted model, not a curated record. NCBI's taxonomy places the organism in Eukaryota, Viridiplantae, Streptophyta, Magnoliopsida, Proteales, Proteaceae. The transcript has 2 exons.